This 425-nucleotide ribosomal RNA is filed under the name uncultured bacterium. RNAcentral describes it as "partial 16S ribosomal RNA". It matches the Rfam family "Bacterial small subunit ribosomal RNA", at positions 354 to 796 of the family's 1533-position model. The record is from RNAcentral.
GUGGGGAAUAUUGGACAAUGGGGGAAACCCUGAUCCAGCCAUGCCGCGUGAAUGAUGAAGGCCUUCGGGUUGUAAAGUUCUUUUGGAGGGGACGAUGAUGACGGUACCCUCAGAAUAAGCUCCGGCUAACUUCGUGCCAGCAGCCGCGGUAAUACGAAGGGAGCUAGCGUUGUUCGGAAUUACUGGGCGUAAAGGGCGCGUAGGCGGUUUGGUCAGUCAGAUGUGAAAGCCCAGGGCUUAACCCUGGAACUGCGUUUGAUACUGCCAAGCUUGAAUUCGGGAGAGGUGAGUGGAAUUCCCAGUGUAGAGGUGAAAUUCGUAGAUAUUGGGAAGAACACCAGUGGCGAAGGCGGCUCACUGGACCGACAUUGACGCUGAGGCGCGAAAGCGUGGGGAGCAAACAGGAUUAGAUACCCGAGUAGUCC